AUUGAACGCUGGCGGCAGGCCUAACACAUGCAAGUCGAGCGGAUGAAGGGAGCUUGCUCCUGGAUUCAGCGGCGGACGGGCGAGUAAUGCCUAGGAAUCUGCCUGGUAGUGGGGGAUAACGUCCGGAAACGGGCGCUAAUACCGCAUACGUCCUGAGGGAGAAAGUGGGGGAUCUUCGGACCUCACGCUAUCAGAUGAGCCUAGGUCGGAUUAGCUAGUUGGUGGGGUAAAGGCCUACCAAGGCGACGAUCCGUAACUGGUCUGAGAGGAUGAUCAGUCACACUGGAACUGAGACACGGUCCAGACUCCUACGGGAGGCAGCAGUGGGGAAUAUUGGACAAUGGGCGAAAGCCUGAUUCAGCCAUGCCGCGUGUGUGAAGAAGGUCUUCGGAUUGUAAAGCACUUUAAGUUGGGAGGAAGGGCAGUAAGUUAAUACCUUGCUGUUUUGACGUUACCAACAGAAUAAGCACCGGCUAACUUCGUG
Molecule: ribosomal RNA, 484 nt
Filed under: uncultured bacterium
Lineage: Bacteria
Description: partial 16S ribosomal RNA
Rfam family: Bacterial small subunit ribosomal RNA
Source: RNAcentral